RNAcentral lists this long non-coding RNA (269 nucleotides) under Capsicum annuum. Its description in RNAcentral is "long non-coding RNA (CANN_LNC019738)". Lineage: Eukaryota; Viridiplantae; Streptophyta; Magnoliopsida; Solanales; Solanaceae. The record is from RNAcentral.
GACUCGGAGCCACUCUGUAAGCCAAAAAAGCCGUGAGUCAAGAGGUUAGUGACCGUGCGGUAUCGGCAGAGAAAGUAGAGAAAGUGACACAAGUCACAUAAGCAAGCUGUCAAUAGGGAUAAAUGCAGUCAUUUUGCAUACAUAAUCGACUUUUGAACCAUUCGAUUCGUGGGUCCCCUAAACCUAUGGAUGGUUUCAUAGCGUCUUUCAGGAGGCUCAGCUUGAAUCGAAACGCUUCGCUGGAGUUAACGAAGGAUGUUUCAUGUCCU